This 449-nucleotide ribosomal RNA is filed under the name uncultured bacterium. Its description in RNAcentral is "partial 16S ribosomal RNA". It matches the Rfam family "Bacterial small subunit ribosomal RNA", at positions 30 to 523 of the family's 1533-position model. The record is from RNAcentral.
AUCGAACGCUGGCGGCAGGCCUAACACAUGCAAGUCGAACGGAUCCUUCGGGAUUAGUGGCGGACGGGUGAGUAACACGUGGGAACGUGCCCUUUGGUUCGGAACAACUCAGGGAAACUUGAGCUAAUACCGGAUGUGCCCUUCGGGGGAAAGAUUUAUCGCCAUUGGAGCGGCCCGCGUCUGAUUAGCUAGUUGGUGAGGUAAAGGCUCACCAAGGCGACGAUCAGUAGCUGGUCUGAGAGGAUGAUCAGCCACAUUGGGACUGAGACACGGCCCAAACUCCUACGGGAGGCAGCAGUGGGGAAUCUUGCGCAAUGGUCGAAAGACUGACGCAGCCAUGCCGCGUGAAUGAUGAAGGUCUUAGGAUUGUAAAAUUCUUUUAGCAGGGACGAUAAUGACGGUACCUGCAGAAAAAGCCCCGGCUAACUUCGUGCCAGCAGCCGCCGUAA